Rhipicephalus sanguineus (brown dog tick) is the source of this 444-nucleotide long non-coding RNA. RefSeq lists it as uncharacterized. The record is from RefSeq and is a predicted model, not a curated record. Lineage: Eukaryota; Metazoa; Arthropoda; Arachnida; Ixodida; Ixodidae. The transcript has 3 exons.
CCUAUGCAAUGGUAUUCAUUGUAUGCUUACAGGAGGCAUCAGAGAAAUGGAAUUGGAGAGUUUUUUAAGUAAAAAUUUGUAGUGAAUUUUUUAGCGAUUUGAAAUUUUGUGAUGAUAACGUUUUAUUUUUUGAAUCACGAGACAACUUCAGAGGAUGAUGGUGAAACAAAAAAAGUGAAGCACUAGGGUGGACCUAACAAGGAGUUGGAAGAAAACCUAAUGUUCAACUGAUUUUUCAACACCUAAAAAAGUACAAGAUGGAUCAAACUGUUACAGAGAUUAUGAUAAAGUUAUUUAUUGUGCCUGGAAUGGACAUAUGCCAAAUGCAGAAUCCAGUCGCGUUUUCCUAAACCCAUAGUUCAUACCGUGUCGUCUGGCGUGGACGUAGACCACUGUUGGGUGCUGUGUCGCGUACAACAAGAACCGUGGAAGAAUUUCUGAACC